Lathyrus oleraceus (garden pea) is the source of this 453-nucleotide long non-coding RNA. RefSeq lists it as uncharacterized. Lineage: Eukaryota; Viridiplantae; Streptophyta; Magnoliopsida; Fabales; Fabaceae. The record is from RefSeq and is a predicted model, not a curated record. The transcript is spliced from 3 exons.
AACGACUUUCAACCCGAAAAAAGAAACUAGGACUUCAAAAUAAUGAAAGGAAAAUAUCUUCAAACCGAAAUCGAAAAAUAACAUCAAUGAACAUAGAAAAUCAACAUUCAACAAAGAGUUCAAGCAAACACAUCAAGUUCAAUUCAUUGAACACAAGAGGAUGAUGGUUUACCACUUCAGUAGUCAUCGAAAGGAAGAAUCCAACGCAGUAGUGGUGUUAUUUAUAUGAGCCAGAAUAGGAGGUGAAUUUGAGAAUGGUAGAUGUGUGAAGAAUUUUCUCUAAAGAAUUCUCACAGGGCACUCUGAAGUUUUGCUGGUUUAUAGUGAAUGGACACAUGAAGCGGUUAGAGAGAACCUUUGAGUUUUUUUGAAGCCUGUAUUUCCAUGUUUAGAAGAUAACUUAGAAAAUUCUAAUAUGGUCUAGAUGCUACAAGAGUUUAUUGUUGUAACCAA